RNAcentral lists this ribosomal RNA (856 nucleotides) under uncultured Flavobacteriaceae bacterium. Its description in RNAcentral is "bacterial SSU rRNA". It matches the Rfam family "Bacterial small subunit ribosomal RNA", at positions 35 to 884 of the family's 1533-position model. Lineage: Bacteria; Pseudomonadati; Bacteroidota; Flavobacteriia; Flavobacteriales; Flavobacteriaceae. The record is from RNAcentral.
GCUAGCGGCAGCUUAACACAUGCAAGUCGAACGGUAACUCUUAGUGCUUGCACUAAAAGACGAGUGGCGGACGGGUGCGUAACGCGUAUGCAAUCUACCUUUUACUAGGGAAUAGCCCAGAGAAAUUUGGAUUAAUCCCCUAUAAUAUCAAAAAUUCGCAUGAUUUUUUGAUUAAAGUUUCGACGGUAAAAGAUGAGCAUGCGUCCUAUUAGUUUGUAGGUGAGGUAAUGGCUCACCUAGACUACGAUAGGUAGGGGCCCUGAGAGGGGGAUCCCCCACACUGGUACUGAGACACGGACCAGACUCCUACGGGAGGCAGCAGUGAGGAAUAUUGGACAAUGGACGAAAGUCUGAUCCAGCUAUGCCGCGUGCAGGAUGACAGCCCUACGGGUUGUAAACUGCUUUUAUACAGGAAGAAAAACUCCGACGUGUCGGGGCUUGACGGUACUGUAAGAAUAAGGAUCGGCUAACUCCGUGCCAGCAGCCGCGGUAAUACGGAGGAUCCAAGCGUUAUCCGGAAUUAUUGGGUUUAAAGGGUCCGCAGGCGGUUUUUUAAGUCAGAGGUGAAAUCCUACAGCUCAACUGUAGAAUUGCCUUUGAUACUGAAAGACUUGAGUUAUUGUGAAGUGGUUAGAAUGUGUGGUGUAGCGGUGAAAUGCAUAGAUAUCACACAGAAUACCAAUUGCGAAGGCAGAUCACUAACAAUUAACUGACGCUCAGGGACGAAAGCGUGGGUAGCGAACAGGAUUAGAUACCCUGGUAGUCCACGCCGUAAACGAUGGAUACUAGCUGUAUGUCUACCUCAGGUAGAUGUGUGGCCAAGCGAAAGUGAUAAGUAUCCCACCUGGGGAGUACG